AUACGGAGGGUGCAAGCGUUACUCGGAAUCACUGGGCGUAAAGCGCGCGCAGGCGGCUUGAUAAGUUGGAUGUGAAAGCCUACGGCUCAACCGUAGAACUGCAUCCAAAACUGUCAAGUUAGAGUCUGGGAGGGGAAGAUGGAAUUAGUUGUGUAGGGGUAAAAUCCGUAGAGAUAACUAGGAAUACCAAAAGCGAAGGCGAUCUUCUGGAACAGUACUGACGCUGAGGCGCGAAAGCGUGGGGAGCAAACAGGAUUAGAUACCCUAGUAGUCC
This 274-nucleotide ribosomal RNA is filed under the name uncultured bacterium. Its description in RNAcentral is "partial 16S ribosomal RNA". It matches the Rfam family "Bacterial small subunit ribosomal RNA", at positions 523 to 796 of the family's 1533-position model. The record is from RNAcentral.